GAUGAACGCUGGCGGCGUGCCUAAUACAUGCAAGUCGAGCGAACAGACGAGGAGCUUGCUCCUCUGACGUUAGCGGCGGACGGGUGAGUAACACGUGGAUAACCUACCUAUAAGACUGGGAUAACUUCGGGAAACCGGAGCUAAUACCGGAUAAUAUAUUGAACCGCAUGGUUCAAUAGUGAAAGACGGUUUUGCUGGCACUUAUAGAUGGAUCCGCGCCGCAUUAGCUAGUUGGUAAGGUAACGGCUUACCAAGGCAACGAUGCGUAGCCGACCUGAGAGGGUGAUCGGCCACACUGGAACUGAGACACGGUCCAGACUCCUACGGGAGGCAGCAGUAGGGAAUCUUACGCAAAGGGCGAAAGCCUGACGGAGCAACGCCGCGUGAGUGAUGAAGGUCUUCGGAUCGUAAAACUCUGUUAUUAGGGAAGAACAAAUGUGUAAGUAAAUAUGCACGUCUUGACGGUACCUAAUAAGAAAGCCACGGCUAACUACGUG
This 497-nucleotide ribosomal RNA is filed under the name uncultured bacterium. Its description in RNAcentral is "partial 16S ribosomal RNA". It matches the Rfam family "Bacterial small subunit ribosomal RNA", at positions 28 to 507 of the family's 1533-position model. The record is from RNAcentral.